AUCGAACGCUGGCGGCAGGCUUAACACAUGCAAGUCGAGCGGGGUGAUGGUGCUUGCACUAUCACUUAGCGGCGGACGGGUGAGUAAUGCUUAGGAAUCUGCCUAUUAGUGGGGGGCAACAUCUCGAAAGGGAUGCUAAUACCGCAUACGUCCUACAAGAGAAAGCAGGGGAUCACUAGUGACCUUGCGCUAAUAGAUGAGCCUAAGUCGGAUUAGCGAGUUGGUGGGGUAAAGGCCUAACAAGGCGACGAUCUGUAGCGGGUCUUAGAGGAUGGUCCGCAACACUGGGACUGAGACACGGCCUAGACUCCUACGGGAGGCAGCAGUGGGGGAUAUUGGACAAUGAGGGGAAACCUGAUCCAGCCAUGCCACGUGUGUGAAGAAGGCCUUAUGGUUGUAAAGCACUUUAAGCGAGGAGGAGGCUCUUCUGGUUAAUACCCAAGGUGAGUGGACGUUACUCGCAGAAUAAGCACCGGCUAACUCUGUGCCAGCAGCCGCCGUAA
Molecule: ribosomal RNA, 503 nt
Filed under: uncultured bacterium
Lineage: Bacteria
Description: partial 16S ribosomal RNA
Rfam family: Bacterial small subunit ribosomal RNA
Source: RNAcentral